Molecule: long non-coding RNA, 1030 nt
Filed under: Phasianus colchicus (ring-necked pheasant)
Lineage: Eukaryota; Metazoa; Chordata; Aves; Galliformes; Phasianidae
Description: lncRNA (ENSPCLG00000010915.1)
Source: RNAcentral
CUUGAAUGUUUUCCUGUGUCUGGUGCAAAAAUAAAGUUUAAUGUCUAGAGAAAGGAGGGCAUUCUAAUUGUGUUAGAAUGAAUUAGAAUUAGUUCCUGCUUAAUAUUCAUUUUACUUAAUUAACUUCUUACUAACUGUCCUCACCAGAGCUGUUGGCAUUAACCCCCUGAAUGGGUCAGAAGAGAUACGGAUAAACUGAAGGCAAAUGAGGAGAGCAGAUUGCUCAUGGUGUGCUGAAUGCUUUGGUACGUCUUUGUGCUGUGAAUGUACAAGGCUGACAAGCAGAAAGCAUGUGAAAAAGGAGUUGUUUGUGUGAAUGUCAAAUACUAACCUAUAUUUUAGAGGAAUGCUUUGCAAUCUUGCUGUUUGAUAUUGAUCAAAAAGCCUUAGAAACAACUGGUUUGGUGCUUUUAUUUCCUUCCAGAGCGUACCAAGCAUCUCUCGAAAUUGCUUGUAAUGUAAUCAGAAAGCACUGACCCAUAACCUAUGCAAAUGUCAUGAAUAAUAGGUUCCAGCUAAGUGAAUCUUGUACUAGAGACAAGCUGGAGUAAUAAUAUAUGAAUUACUCAUUCUUUCUUCUCCAUUUUCUUGUUUGUAGAUGUGGCAAGGUACUGCAGUUCUUCACAUCUUGGAUGCACUACAUGCAUCGUAUGGACACAUAUGUCCUGAGUGUUUCACCUCAUUCACCAAACAGCAGGAAGGUUACGCACAGUAGAAAACAUCUUCUUCCAGAAGACCUUGAAAAACUGUUGGAAUGAUGACGUCCUACAGAAGCUGUGCUGUGCUUGAGGAUAUCCUUGGAAUGAGAAACACAUCUAAGAUUCAAGUCCAAGUUCAAUGUGGUUGUUGAAGAGCAUCAAUGUUCAAGCUCCUUUUUUGCAUCAGGCUUCUUCAGUUCUGAAAACGUCAGAUUCCAGCUGCAAGCUUAAGAAGCAGCUGGAUAUAAGUGAUGUGCCCUAUAAUGUGUUCAAAGCUGCUUGUACUGUAACACUUCUGUUUCAAAUAAACUGCUAAUUUUUUUUUUGUUUCA